Long non-coding RNA from Solanum pennellii, 532 nucleotides. RefSeq lists it as uncharacterized. The record is from RefSeq and is a predicted model, not a curated record. Lineage: Eukaryota; Viridiplantae; Streptophyta; Magnoliopsida; Solanales; Solanaceae. The transcript is spliced from 2 exons.
UACUUCUAUACAUGAUUAUAUUGACAAUUUGUAAUCAAGAAAUGAACAAGGUUUCUAUUCCUUAUACUUUCUAUAUUGUUCUUAUAAAUUUUCUUAUUAUAUCAUGGUGUCUACAAAGUGAAGCCAGGAUGUUUUUGGACAUGGAGAACUUAUCUUCAAUCAAAUUCAAAGGUGUUAUACGAGGUCGCAGUAAUCGUGAAACUCCGAUUAAUAUUAACCCUUCACCAACAGCAAAUACUCGUGAUCAUGUUGACUAUACUCCACCACCGUUGAUAAGUAAAUAGGGGAGCUUGUGAAGAACCAAUAAUUGAAUGCUUAAUUUGUUGGAUAUUUUACUAUGAUUGGGCCAGGUGGCGCGCAGAGGUUAUAGACUAUUGCGUAAUUUCUUUUACUGUGUAUUUACCUUUGUUUUUCGUUUUCGAUCAUUGGAUUACUUUAUUUUUAAUUAGUCAGAGAUUUCGAUUACGAAAUCAAGGAAAUUAUGCUAGAAAGAAAAUUAUGGUGAGAAUAAAUUAUAAUUCUUUAUAUUAUA